RNAcentral lists this unclassified non-coding RNA (308 nucleotides) under plant metagenome. RNAcentral's name for it is "partial contains 5.8S ribosomal RNA, internal transcribed spacer 2, and large subunit ribosomal RNA". The stretch from base 1 to 104 matches the Rfam family "5.8S ribosomal RNA", at positions 51 to 154 of the family's 154-position model. The record is from RNAcentral.
AAAUGCGAUAAGUAAUGUGAAUUGCAGAAUACAGUGAAUCAUCGAAUCUUUGAACGCACAUUGCGCCCGCCAGUAUUCUGGCGGGCAUGCCUGUUCGAGCGUCAUUUCAACCAUCAAGCCCCCGGGCUUGUGUUGGGGACCUGCGGCUGCCGCAGGCCCCGAAAACCAGUGGCGGGCUCGCUGUCACACCGGGCGUAGUAGAUUUUUCGUCUCGCCCAGGGCGUGCUGCGGGUUCCGGCCGUUAAAAAGCCUCUCUUUUAACCCAAGGUUGACCUCGGAUCAGGUAGGAAGACCCGCUGAACUUAAGC